RNAcentral lists this ribozyme (77 nucleotides) under uncultured Lachnospira sp. RNAcentral's name for it is "HDV ribozyme from F. prausnitzii". It matches the Rfam family "HDV ribozyme from F. prausnitzii". Lineage: Bacteria; Bacillati; Bacillota; Clostridia; Lachnospirales; Lachnospiraceae. The record is from RNAcentral.
GCUGCUCGAAACUUUGCACACCUCUCCGUGGUGAGCAGCAGGCAACGCAGUAAAAGAUACUGUGGCUAAGAUGUAGA